Molecule: unclassified non-coding RNA, 154 nt
Filed under: uncultured Zasmidium
Lineage: Eukaryota; Fungi; Ascomycota; Dothideomycetes; Mycosphaerellales; Mycosphaerellaceae
Also listed under: 2 other names
Description: sequence contains ITS2
Source: RNAcentral
CAACCAAUCCAGCCCGGCUGGGUAUUGGGCGUCGCGGACCCCGCGCGCCUCAAAGUGACCGGCGGAAGCCGCCCGUUCCUCUGCGUGAUGCACAUCAAUCGCUUGGGAUACGGGGGUGAGCGCCCGUGAAACAUCGGCGGAGACGUCGACUCCA